Molecule: ribosomal RNA, 497 nt
Filed under: uncultured bacterium
Lineage: Bacteria
Description: partial 16S ribosomal RNA
Rfam family: Bacterial small subunit ribosomal RNA
Source: RNAcentral
GAUGAACGCUGGCGGCGUGCCUAAUACAUGCAAGUCGAGCGAACAGACGAGGAGCUUGCUCCUCUGACGUUAGCGGCGGACGGGUGAGUAACACGUGGAUAACCUACCUAUAAGACUGGGAUAACUUCGGGACACCGGAGCUAAUACCGGAUAAUAUAUUGAACCGCAUGGUUCAAUAGUGAAAUUCGGUUUUUCUGUCACUUCUAGAUGGAUCCGCGCCGCAUUAGAUAGUUGGUAAGGUAACGGCCUAGCAAGGCAAGGAUGCGUAGACGACCGGAUGGGGGGGUCGGCCACACUGGAACGGAGACACGGACAAUGCGACUGAGGGAGGCAGCAGUAGGGAAUGUGAGGCAAUAGGCGAAAGCCUGACGGAACAACGGCGAGUGAGAGAUAGAGGUCUUGGGAUCGUAAUAAUCGGUUAUGGGUGAAGAACAAAUGUGGAAGUAAAUGUACACGUAUUGACGGUAACGAAUCAGAAAGCCACGGCUAACUACGUG